RNAcentral lists this ribosomal RNA (254 nucleotides) under uncultured bacterium. RNAcentral's name for it is "partial 16S ribosomal RNA". It matches the Rfam family "Bacterial small subunit ribosomal RNA", at positions 524 to 776 of the family's 1533-position model. The record is from RNAcentral.
UACGGAGGGUACAAGCGUUAUCCGGAAUCACUGGGUUUAAAGGGUGCGUAGGCGGUGGCGUAAGUCAGUUGUGAAAUUCCCCGGCUUAACCGGCGGGACUGCGAUUGAUACUGCGUUACUUGAAUCAGGUUGAGGUAGGCGGAAUGUGACAUGUAGCGGUGAAAUGCUUAGAUAUGUCAUAGAACACCGAUUGCGAAGGCAGCUUGCUGGACCUGUAUUGACGCUGAGGCACGAAAGCGUGGGGAGCAAACAGG